GUGGGGAAUCUUGCACAAUGGGGGAAACCCUGAUGCAGCGACGCCGCGUGAGCGAUGAAGCCCUUCGGGGUGUAAAGCUCUUUCGUCAGGGAAGAUAGUGACGGUACCUGGAGAAGCAGCUGCGGCUAACUACGUGCCAGCAGCCGCGGUAAUACGUAGGCAGCAAGCGUUGUUCGGAGUUACUGGGCGUAAAGGGUGUGUAGGCGGUUCUUUAAGUUUGCUGUGAAAUCUCCCGGCUUAACCGGGAGGGUGCGGUGAAUACUGAGGGACUAGAGUACGGGAGAGGAAAGUGGAAUUCCUGGUGUAGCGGUGAAAUGCGUAGAUAUCAGGAGGAACACCGGUGGUGUAGACGGCUUUCUGGACCGUAACUGACGCUGAGACACGAAAGCGUGGGUAGCAAACAGGAUUAGAUACCCUUGUAGUCC
Molecule: ribosomal RNA, 425 nt
Filed under: uncultured bacterium
Lineage: Bacteria
Description: bacterial SSU rRNA
Rfam family: Bacterial small subunit ribosomal RNA
Source: RNAcentral